Molecule: ribosomal RNA, 325 nt
Filed under: Acidobacteria bacterium enrichment culture clone C17_08_S60
Lineage: Bacteria; Pseudomonadati; Acidobacteriota
Description: bacterial SSU rRNA
Rfam family: Bacterial small subunit ribosomal RNA
Source: RNAcentral
GAUCCUGGCUCAGAAUCAACGCUGGCGGCGUGCCUAACACAUGCAAGUCGAACGAGAAAGGGWAKCAAUUCCUGAGUACAGUGGCGCACGGGUGAGUAACACGUGACUAACCUACCCUGGAGUGGGGAAUAACUGAGGGAAACCUUAGCUAAUACCGCAUAAUACCUACGGGUCAAAGGAGCAAUUCGCUUCAGGAGGGGGUCGCGGCCGAUUAGUUAGUUGGCGGGGUAAUGGCCCACCAAGACAGUGAUCGGUAUCCGGCCUGAGAGGGCGCACGGACACACUGGAACUGAAACACGGUCCAGACUCCUACGGGAGGCAGCAG